RNAcentral lists this ribosomal RNA (301 nucleotides) under uncultured bacterium. RNAcentral describes it as "partial 16S ribosomal RNA". It matches the Rfam family "Bacterial small subunit ribosomal RNA", at positions 509 to 807 of the family's 1533-position model. The record is from RNAcentral.
CAGUAGCCACGGGAACACGUAGGGUGCAAGCGUUAAUCGGAAUUACUGGGCGUAAAGCGUGCGCAGGCGGUUAUAUAAGACAGAUGUGAAAUCCCCGGGCUCAACCUGGGAACUGCAUUUGUGACUGUAUAGCUAGAGUACGGCAGAGGGGGAUGGAAUUCCGCGUGUAGCAGUGAAAUGCGUAGAUAUGCGGAGGAACACCGAUGGCGAAGGCAAUCCCCUGGGCCUGUACUGACGCUCAUGCACGAAAGCGUGGGGAGCAAACAGGAUUAGAUACCCCGGUAGUCCCUGUCUCUUAUAC